GACGAACGCUGGCGGCGUGCCUAAUACAUGCAAGUCGAACGCAGUGGGGACGGGUGCGUAACAAGUGGGUAACCUCCCAUCAGAGGGGAUAACACUUGGAAACAGGUGCUAAACCGAUACUGAUGGAUGGACCCGCGGUGCAGUAGCUAGUUGGUGAGGUAACGGCUCACCAAGGCCACGAUGAAUAGCCGUCCUGAGAGGGUGAUCGGCCACACUGGGACUGAGACACGGCCCAGACUCCGACGGGAGGCAGCAGUGGGGAAUAUUCGGCAAUGGACGAAAGUCUGACCGAGCCACGCCGCGUGAGUGAAGAAGGUUUUCGGAUCGUAAAACUCUUUUGGUAGGGAGGCGGUAUCUAACCAGAAAGCCACGGCUAACUACGUGCCAGCAGCCGCGGUAAUUC
Molecule: ribosomal RNA, 403 nt
Filed under: uncultured bacterium
Lineage: Bacteria
Description: partial 16S ribosomal RNA
Rfam family: Bacterial small subunit ribosomal RNA
Source: RNAcentral